GUAGUUGCUUAGGCAGUACAUACUCUAAAAUUGGAAUGAUACAGAGAAGAGGAACAUGGCCCCCAUGCAAGGAUCACACAGAAAUUCAUGCAGAGUUCCACCGUUUA
RNAcentral lists this small nuclear RNA (107 nucleotides) under Chinchilla lanigera (long-tailed chinchilla). Lineage: Eukaryota; Metazoa; Chordata; Mammalia; Rodentia; Chinchillidae. The record is from RNAcentral.